This 397-nucleotide ribosomal RNA is filed under the name Medionidus conradicus. RNAcentral's name for it is "partial 16S ribosomal RNA". It matches the Rfam family "Bacterial large subunit ribosomal RNA", at positions 1925 to 2559 of the family's 2925-position model. The record is from RNAcentral. Lineage: Eukaryota; Metazoa; Mollusca; Bivalvia; Unionida; Unionidae.
AAACGGCCGAGUUAGCGUGAGCGUGCUAAGGUAGCGUAAUAAAUAGCCUCUUAAUUGGAGGCCAGUGAAUGGCAAGACUAGGACACCUGUACCUUGUGUGAAAAAACAACUUUUCAUUUGGGUGAAAAGACUCAAAUAAUAAAGGAAGACGAAAAGACCCCGCGGAACUUUACCUUUUCUAGUCUUCAUAUGCUCAGAAACAUAAAAACAAAAGGUUUGAUUGGGGCAAUCUCGGAACCACCCAAACUUCUGAUCCACAAAUAAAAAUAUAUAAAACUUAAUAAGGACCAAAAAGAAGUUACCCCGGGGAUAACAGCGUAAUCCAAUUUGAGAGUACACAUCGAAAAUUGGGUUUGCGACCUCGAUGUUGGCUUAAGGAUAUCCACAUAAGUGCAAC